Ctenopharyngodon idella (grass carp) is the source of this 2729-nucleotide long non-coding RNA. RefSeq lists it as uncharacterized. NCBI's taxonomy places the organism in Eukaryota, Metazoa, Chordata, Actinopteri, Cypriniformes, Xenocyprididae. The transcript has 3 exons. The record is from RefSeq and is a predicted model, not a curated record.
UAUUCCAGCAUUUUCGAAGUCAACGUAAUAACUAUGACAGUAACUUACCUGUAUUCGUGCCUCUGGAAGGUCGAUUUUGUUUGCAAGUCGCUCUCGUGCGAAAACAUCCGGAUAAUGUGUUCUCUCAAACUCUGUUAGAUGAAGUUUAGUAGUACUUAAGUCUUUCUAUAAAAUAAAUGCCAGUUGGUUUUAUAUUUUGUCAUUUAACGCAAUACUAAUUUUUAAGCUUUUUUGUCUAUUUGCUUACCUUUCUCCAAGGCCUCAAUCUGCUCUGUUGUGAAGCUGGUUCUGUUGCGCUGAAGUUUCCUCUUCAACUGCAGCCUCAGUUGAGACUCUUCUCCUUCAUCUCUUUCCACAUGUCCUCCUCUUCCUGGCAUCCUCCCAUCCGUGUCCACCAGGAAGUCAUCUGAAACUGAAUGAAAACGACGAGGUCAAAAUCGUCUCACCGGUGCUGUGCUGCUGGGUGGGAACGUUGCUCUGCUGAUGGUACCAGUCGUUGGAUCCACUCCAGUUUGAAGUGCUCUGGAGAUUCAGCAUGGUUAACCUCUCAAACAUCAUGCACUUGCCCACUACAGCCUCAGAAUGGAAGGAGACAAGAAGAGACAGUUUUAAUUGAAUUUAUACUCUCCAAGACACACUAAGACCUUUGAACCUCUUUUUUAUACAGACGAUUUAAAUGGAAAAGCAGUGACAGAGAAUCAAAUUGUGUGAGGAUGAAGCAUGAGUUCACACACAUUAGAGUGAAUUACAGUAACAUCAUUCAGAAUUAUUAAGCAGUUCUUUUACAGGCAAAAUGAGCCAAAAAAGAGAUUUAACUUAGACUGAAAAGUCAAAAAUUAUUAAAUGCCCAUGAGAAGGAUGCAAUACUAAUGCAAUACUAGAAAUUGCAUCGUAAAAGCAUGACCAAUGGACAGCAAAAUGCUCAUUGGAUCAGCAGGGUCAGACAAAAACAGGUGGAGAAUAAAAGACACGUUAACUGCAAAAGAAUUAAGAAUUAAGUGUGAAACCAUCAGGAACCCUUUAGUCUCCAGCACUAACAUUUUCCAGAACUGCAACCUACCCGGAGUCUCCAGAAGUGCAAGCAACUUAGGUUAGGUAAGGAAUCCUAAAAAAUGACCCCCACUUAAUAAGAAUCACAAGCUGAAGUGUUGUAAAAUACAAUACAUGAAUACUGUUUUUUUUUAUAGGCUUUCAUAGAAAGACAGAUUGAGAGUGACUCUUGAAGGACAAGCACCAGCUGGGGGCUCGUCCGGGAUAUUCCGAAGAAAAACGGGACUGAGAAGUCAUCCUGCAUCAUAGGAUUCUUUACCUAACCUAAGUCUCUGAGAUCUUGACACCUUGCACUUCUGGAGAAUCCAGGUAGGUUGCAGUUCUGGAAAAUGGUGGCGACUAAAGGGUUUCUGAUGGUUUCACACUUAAUUCUUCAUCUUAAUUCUUAAUUCUUUUGCAGUUAACAUGUGUCUUUUCUUCUCCACCUGUUUUUGUAUGACCCUGCUGACCCAAUGAGCAUUUCACUGUCCAAUGGUCAUGCUUUAACUUUGCAAUUUCUAGUAUUGCAUUAGUAUUGCAUCCUUCUCAUGGGCAUUUAAUAAUUUUUGACUUUUCAGUCUGAGUUAAAUCUCUUUUUUGUCUCAUUUUAUCUGUAAAAGAAAACCUGCCUAAUAAUUCUGCACACCUGAAUAUAAGGCGUUUUUCAUUCCCACCCUUCAUGAACAAUUAUAUAUCAUUUAUGAAUGAUUAAAUACAAAAUUAAUAGCAGUUAUUAAGAUUGAUGUGGUUUGGAAUUGGUAAAAUGCGCCUGGAAAUUAUGGAAUGGAAUUAUGGAAUUAUGCACGCAGUGUACAUUUUAAUGACAUAAUGACACAAGCUUCAGCAUGCAUGUGUUCAAUGAACUGUAUCUUUUUCCUGGGCAAUAACAGAGGAAAUGUUCAAUAGCCUUUUUGAAGCCGGAUAUAUAGAAACCGAAUAUGUGUAUACAGAAACUGACUUUUUAAAAAAAAAAAAAAAGUACAGUGACAAUGAUUCUGGUAUUAUGGAAUGGUAUAUUGCUGCCAAAACUUGUAACCAUAUAUUCCAUUAAUGAUAUAAUUUUAAUAAACCAACCUACUUGAAGUACCAAAACCUGCUUUUUACCUGCUACCUUUAAUACCUCAUGUAUAAAUUUACCAACUGUAUUAUCAUGUAUUAAUGUAUUAAUACCUCAUGUAUUAAAAAAAUAAUACAUGAUAAUACAGCGGGUAAAUUAGAAAGCCACAUGGUGAAUCAGAGUUCAUUGUAAGUGGCUUUACCAUAAAUGAGAUAAACAUUUUCUAUAUAGCAUUACAUAAUGCAAUUUACUCAUAACAAAAUAAGAAGAAACUAAAUUAUUAAUAUAAAAUAUAAUCAUAUGUCAUGCAGGGAACAUCCUUUUAUUGUUUUUCACUGUAAAUUAUACAGUAACUCACAAUUUUUAAUUAAAAAAAACAUAUCGUAUAUAACAGUAAAAUUACAUAUAUGAUAUUUUAAGGUAUCUUACAGCAGGUUCUCCAGUUACUGUAGCAUUUUUAGUCUUUUUUGGUAAGAAUUACAAAAAUUUUUUUAAAGUGUACUCUGAGAAAAAGUGGGACAACUAGAUGUUCAAAGAUAAAGCUUGAAUUCUGUUACUCCAAAAUUUUGACUGUUGUUUCUUUACCAACAUUUAUGGAUUCAAUGCAGCAGUUAACAAAAUUAUAAGGAAGUACAAGUACAAA